RNAcentral lists this ribosomal RNA (515 nucleotides) under uncultured archaeon. RNAcentral's name for it is "bacterial SSU rRNA". It matches the Rfam family "Archaeal small subunit ribosomal RNA", at positions 345 to 859 of the family's 1478-position model. The record is from RNAcentral.
AACCUUUACACUGCACGACAGUGCGAUAGGGGGACUCCGAGUGCGAGGGCAUACAGUCCUCGCUUUUCUGUACCGUAAGGUGGUACAGGAAUAAGUGCUGGGCAAGACCGGUGCCAGCCGCCGCGGUAAUACCGGCAGCACGAGUGAUGGCCGAUAUUAUUGGGCCUAAAGCGUCCGUAGCCGGCCAGACAAGUCCGUUGGGAAAUCGACGUGCCUAACACGUCGGCGUCCAGCGGAAACUGUCUGGCUUGGGGCCGGAAGACUCGAGGGGUACGUCCGGGGUAGGAGUGGAAUCCCGUAAUCCUGGACGGACCGCCGAUGGCGAAAGCACCUCGAGAGGACGGACCCGACGGUGAGGGACGAAAGCUAGGGUCUCGAACCGGAUUAGAUACCCGGGUAGUCCUAGCCGUAAACAAUGCUCGCUAGGUGUGGCGCAGGCUACGAGCCUGCGCUGUGCCGUAGGGAAGCCGUGAAGCGAGCCGCCUGGGAAGUACGUCCGCAAGGAUGAAACUUAA